GGAUGUGAGGGCGAUCUGACUGUGACAUCUGUCACCCCAGUGAUCACUAGAGUUGAUUCAGCUGACCUGACCAGCUAGGCAGGUGUCCCCUUUCUCCAUCACUACAACAAGUGCAUCCCUCCCAAAGCUGCACAAUUCAAAGAAGACAGCCUACUCCAAACAAGGUUGGACCAUUGUUUGGUCAAGAGUAUAGGAGUAGUUGCAUUCCACUGCUUGAACCUCCAAACAAGCUCUCAAAGGGAUCAGAGAUAGUACAUAAGUUAAAAUGAUCGCCUUGCAUCUGAUUUGAACUCCCAUC
RNAcentral lists this small nuclear RNA (298 nucleotides) under Sorex araneus (European shrew). RNAcentral's name for it is "7SK RNA (ENSSARG00000017700.1)". It matches the Rfam family "7SK RNA". From Rfam's summary of the family: 7SK was discovered as an abundant small nuclear RNA in the mid-70s but a possible function has only recently been suggested. Two independent studies have found that 7SK RNA binds the CDK9/cyclin T complex (known as elongation factor P-TEFb). P-TEFb activates transcription by phosphorylating the C-terminal domain of RNA polymerase II. The record is from RNAcentral. Lineage: Eukaryota; Metazoa; Chordata; Mammalia; Eulipotyphla; Soricidae.